Molecule: ribosomal RNA, 253 nt
Filed under: uncultured bacterium
Lineage: Bacteria
Description: partial 16S ribosomal RNA
Rfam family: Bacterial small subunit ribosomal RNA
Source: RNAcentral
GACGGAGGAUGCAAGUGUUAUCCGGAAUCACUGGGCGUAAAGCGUCUGUAGGUGGUUUAAAAAGUCUGCUGUUAAAGAUUGAAGCUUAACUUCAAGAAUGCCGUAGAAACUUUUAAACUUGAGGAUGGUAGGGGUAGAGGGAAUUUCCAGUGGAGCGGUGAAAUGCGUAGAUCUUGGAAAGACCACCAACGGCGAAGGCACUCUACUGGGCCAUGACUGACACUGAGAGACGAAAGCUAGGGGAGCAAAUGGG